UAUGCUAGAAAAUUAACCGAAUCUGUCUUUUUUUAUGUUUCAAUAAUGACGGUGGUUAUUGUGCAAUAUGGCGACAAAAUUACUGCGGAGCAUCCCAGCUGCCUGCUAGGAGCCCAACGUGUCAACGUGUCGUGUGUUAUUGUGAGUUCGGAGUGUUGGUGCUCGUGCAUCUACGUGGCUUCACGUUCGCGAAAGCCACUGUACUGCGCGCUAUAGCCAUGUGCGCAUCGUCACGCACGUUGAAUGGAAACCCGGUGAGACCGAUCCAUUUUUGCUUUAUGUUGACGUUAUUUGUUUUGCGACAUUUUUAAACUUGAGAGGCAGUCUGUCUCGCUGAUUAUUGUUGGUUAUGAACUGCUUGGGUUCAGGGAGCAUUCAUUGCCACAAGCUUCGUUAUAAAGCUGCUGUUAGGUUUGUUUUGAUCCGAAUGUGUCCAGGAGCUGACAUAAUGUUGACCUGACCUUCAUGAAUUGCAUGGUUGGGAAAAUCGACAAUCAGUGAAAUUAGAUUUAUGCCAUGAUAGUCAUAUUGUCAUCGUUGUUAUGAAAAUGUUGUGAUAAAAUUAACCGAUUUCCGAUUUCUUUUGCAUGUGAUAAUCCCGUGAGCCUCUCCUGCUUCGAGUGAAAGGAGUCUAGUCUGCUAGUUCGUCGCUGUGGUGUCCGCGAGCGCGACGCCUGGAUUCUACUGCGCGCCGGAUUUCAGCAUGAACAUACACGAGGCACUAUGCACAGAGAUGUUAAGAGACGCCUGAAUGAUAAACAUGAUAACAUCUAAGGUGAACCGAGCCUGGAGAACAGGACGAAGUUUACUAGUCGAGCGGUGGGCGGGUGCGCUGCAGUUGCUAUUUGGAGCGUCGUCCUCCCCCGGAUUCGUCGUGAAGGCCGUGUGAGUUGCGGCAGGCCAGGACAUCGCGUAUCAUCGCACAAGGUGAAAGCAUUCUAUUUCAUUGAAAAUGUUUAAAUUGACCAGACAAACUUCACGAUAACUAAUAAUUUGUUACUUGUAUUCUGUCACUUGUAAGUGUUUUAGAUUAUUAUCAAUGCUUUCUUAUUAUUCUUUAUUGUACACAAAAUAAAAUUUGAUUCUAAUUAAAAAUCAAUUCGCACUUGAUAGGCCGGAAAAUCAAAGUAUCACUGAUGAAAUUGAGAUGGAACGAAGUAGUUAUGAUAUUGAGGAGUGUUUGAGUUUGCAUGAUGAUCGGACCGUACCAGAGGCUGUCGUGUAGCCGUAGCUCAGUAGAAAUCGGCGUCUGCUCAGUGAGUAGUCCGUGAGUACGCGGUAAGCAGUCAGCUCUGGCGGAGGUCGGGUUUCAGUGGAAACCAAUGAGUCCAGGGUAGACUCGGCGUUCCUAUGUGAGGUUCGCAGUAAAGAGUAAAGAGUAACUGGAGGUUACUGGGCUAAGUGUAGCCAUGGUCACAUGUAGAGCUUAAAUGUUUUGUUUUAAUUUAUCAGUUUAGAGUUUAUUGUCUCUUGUAAGAGGCAGUGAUCGGUUUUACUUUGAGUUUCCUAAUUUUGAUUCUGAAUUAUUGUAAUGAAACGAUUAUUUUCUUUCUUUUCAUUGAUCAUUUCCCAAUUAAAUGUAGAGUUUGAUUUGUUGCUUGUGAGAGUUUAGUACUCGGUUGCUCUGGGUAUAGCUUUUGAGAACUAGUUGUCACCUAGAUUGUUUAUUAAAGACCUAAUUGAGGCCAUUUGAAGUUUGUUUCAUUUCCUU
This is a long non-coding RNA of Helicoverpa zea (corn earworm), 1711 nucleotides long. RefSeq lists it as uncharacterized. The record is from RefSeq and is a predicted model, not a curated record. The transcript is spliced from 2 exons. NCBI's taxonomy places the organism in Eukaryota, Metazoa, Arthropoda, Insecta, Lepidoptera, Noctuidae.